This 405-nucleotide ribosomal RNA is filed under the name uncultured bacterium. Its description in RNAcentral is "bacterial SSU rRNA". It matches the Rfam family "Bacterial small subunit ribosomal RNA", at positions 355 to 775 of the family's 1533-position model. The record is from RNAcentral.
UGGGGAAUCUUGCACAAUGGGGGCAACCCUGAUGCAGCGACGCCGCGUGAGCGAUGAAGCCCUUCGGGGUGUAAAGCUCUUUCGGCAGGGAAGAAUGAUGACGGUACCUGCAGAAGCAGCUGCGGCUAACUACGUGCCAGCAGCCGCGGUAAUACGUAGGCAGCAAGCGUUGUUCGGAGUUACUGGGCGUAAAGGGUGCGUAGGCGGUUCUUUAAGUUCGGUGUGAAAUCUCCCGGCUCAACCGGGAGGGUGCGCCGGAUACUGAAGGACUUCGAGUGCGGGAAGGGAGAGUGGAAUUCCUGGUGUAGCGGUGAAAUGCGUAGAUAUCAGGAGGAACACCGGUGGUGUAAACGGCUCUCUGGACCGUAACUGACGCUGAUGCACGAAAGCGUGGGUAGCAAACAG